CCUACGGGUGGCAGCAGUGAGGAAUAUUGGUCAAUGGGCGCGAGCCUGAACCAGCCAAGUCGCGUGAAGGAUGACUGCCCUACGGGUUGUAAACCUCUUUUAUAAAGGAAUAAAGUGAGGCACGUGUGCCUUUUUGUAUGUACCUUAUGAAUAAGGAUCGGCUAACUCCGUGCCAGCAGCCGCGGUAAUACGGAGGAUCCGAGCGUUAUCCGGAUUUAUUGGGUUUAAAGGGUGCGUAGGCGGGGUGUUAAGUCAGCGGUGAAAGUUUGUGGCUCAACCGUAAAAUUGCCGUUGAAACUGGGGAGCUUGAGUAUGUGUGAGGCAGGCGGAAUGCGUGGGGUAGCGGUGAAAUGCUUAGAUAUCACGCAGAACCUCGAUUGGGAAGGCAGCCUGCCAAGCCACGACUGACGCUGAUGCACGAAAGCGUGGGGAUCAAACAGGAGUAGAUACCCCUGUAGUC
This 460-nucleotide ribosomal RNA is filed under the name uncultured bacterium. RNAcentral describes it as "partial 16S ribosomal RNA". It matches the Rfam family "Bacterial small subunit ribosomal RNA", at positions 338 to 795 of the family's 1533-position model. The record is from RNAcentral.